GUUUUUGGUUUUUUCUUUUUACUUCCGUCUCGUUGUUUGGGUUCUUUGAGAGCUUGGUUGUAUUCUUUGGGCUCGGGAGUGGUGUUUUCGUGCCCUUGGCUGCUUCUGGUAGUGAUUUCUUGAAAGAAGUUAGGGUUCUGUGCCGUGGGAUUUGCGGCAUUGCCGUUUGUCGGUGCUUUGGGUCUAGAUCUUGGAGCUUUUUGUUUUCUUUCUCCAGAAAGAAGAUUUUGGUGCUUGUUAGAAUUUGCGAGCGAUUCGGAAAAGAAUUCGAUGGGUUGGGUUAUUUGGGAUUUUGCUUCGAUUUCUUAUCUAUCGUUUCUCCUCCUUGCAAGUUGCAAGCCAAGAACGGGGCUUUGAUGAGCGAAGUCUUCGUACGUCUCAAGAUUCUAUUUUUCGUUUUUAAUUUCCCUUAUCUUUCUACUUUCCUUCUAUUUUGUGGUGUAACAUGCUUGCUACUUAAUUUCUUCUGAGAUUAGAAAGAAAAUAGCCUCACAUCUGAAAAGAUAGGGAACCUGUUUGAAUUUCUAGUGGAGCGGCGAAGGAUUUGGCAAUGAGUAGGAUAAACUUGUUUGAAGUCAUAUAAUUGAACGAUGUUUGCUUGGUUCAGAAACCUUCUUUUUCCCCAGUAAAACUGUUUUUAUAUGCUGAUCUUCCUCUCUCGUUCUUCUGUUUCUGAGCAGGUUUCUUAAGUUUGGUGUUUUAGAACUGCAAGUGUAAUCAGCGCAUCAUGUUGUUCGCUUGGAUAGCUAACAUUGGCUUGAGAAUCUCGGCAUGUCUUGGUGCCGGGUUGAUGGUAAUUGUUAUCAUGCCAUUUUCCCAGGCAUACACUAAUGAACGAGAUGGUAUGCUAUACACUUGGCUGUCUUCGCUCUGUACAUUUUUUUCUUAACAUUGGAAACUAUGUUGUUUUAUUUGCCCUUUACUCUGAAGCUUUAAUUCUGGUACGGGUUAUCUAAUGGUAUUACUUCUUCAAAUAAGAUUCUAAUGAUGUCAUUUCUUUUCAUCUACUUUCAGUGAGCAUUCUUGUUCAAGCAUCAGUUGCCUUUAUAACGGUUGCUGUGCAUCCUAAGAUGCCGGGUGCACGCCUUUAAUUGUCUAAGCUCUGUGUGUGUGUGUGUGUGUGAAUUUAGAUGCUGGACAAGUGUCAACCUGUCAGGUAGGAUACAUACAUCUCAGCCUUCAUUGUUGGACCCUUUGGUCCAUGUGUCGGCUACAAUUGAUGGUCCAAUUUUAUUUAUUCUCUAGGGGAAGCUAGAAAAUGAAAAAGAAAUUGUACGAUGGAGAGAUGAUGGAAGUAGGUCUGUCUGGUUGUGACAGCACAUGUAGAUGAGAACUCCGGGGAAGAAUUUGUUUCUCAUUCUGGUUCAUGGUUUUGGCUGUAACAUUUUUAAGUUAUAAUGUGUUUCACAAGCUUUACUUGUAAAGAUGAACUUUUUUUCCUUAGAAUUGUAGCAAAUGUGUACGAGAGAACUCAGAGGAGUGUAAAGAUCAUUAAUGCAGAGGAAGUUACCACACAAGCAAUAGGAUAAAGGUAGAUAACCCUUGAGAUACUUCAGAUACCAGAUGCAGGCGACAUUUUGACGUAGGUAAAAGGUCAGUUUAGAUGAAACGCCUUGGCAGGUGAAGACCUGCUAUCAAUAGAUGUGGAAUUAUGUAGAAAAUUUGAACCC
RNAcentral lists this long non-coding RNA (1670 nucleotides) under Phoenix dactylifera (date palm). RNAcentral describes it as "long non-coding RNA (PDAC_LNC005624)". Lineage: Eukaryota; Viridiplantae; Streptophyta; Magnoliopsida; Arecales; Arecaceae. The record is from RNAcentral.